GACGAACGCUGGCGGCGUGCUUAACACAUGCAGGUCGAACGGAAAGGCCCUGCUUUUGUGGGGUGCUCGAGUGGCGAACGGGUGAGUAACACGUGAGUAACCUGCCCCUGACUUUGGGAUAACUUCAGGAAACUGGGGCUAAUACCGGAUAGGAGCUCCUGCUGCAUGGUGGGGGUUGGAAAGUUUCGGCGGUUGGGGAUGGACUCGCGGCUUAUCAGCUUGUUGGUGGGGUAGUGGCUUACCAAGGCUUUGACGGGUAGCCGGCCUGAGAGGGUGACCGGCCACAUUGGGACUGAGAUACGGCCCAGACUCCUACGGGAGGCAGCAGUGGGGAAUAUUGCACAAUGGGCGGAAGCCUGAUGCAGCAACGCCGCGUGCGGGAUGACGGCCUUCGGGUUGUAAACCGCUUUCGCCUGUGACGAAGCGUGAGUGACGGUAAUGGGUAAAGAAGCACCGGCUAACUACGUG
This 468-nucleotide ribosomal RNA is filed under the name uncultured bacterium. RNAcentral's name for it is "partial 16S ribosomal RNA". It matches the Rfam family "Bacterial small subunit ribosomal RNA", at positions 28 to 507 of the family's 1533-position model. The record is from RNAcentral.